CGGCGUGCCUAAUACAUGCAAGUCGAGCGAGCUUGCCUAUAGAAAUUCUUCGGAAUGGACAUAGAUACAAGCUAGCGGCGGAUGGGUGAGUAACGCGUGGGUAACCUGCCCUUAAGUCUGGGAUACCAUUUGGAAACAGAUGCUAAUACCGGAUAAAAGCUACUUUCGCAUGAAAGAAGUUUAAAAGGCGGCGUAAGCUGUCGCUAAAGGAUGGACCUGCGAUGCAUUAGCUAGUUGGUAAGGUAACAGCUUACCAAGGCGAUGAUGCAUAGCCGAGUUGAGAGACUGAUCGGCCACAUUGGGACUGAGACACGGCCCAAACUCCUACGGGAGGCAGCAGUAGGGAAUCUUCCACAAUGGACGAAAGUCUGAUGGAGCAACGCCGCGUGAGUGAAGAAGGUUUUCGGAUCGUAAAGCUCUGUUGUUGGUGAAGAAGGAUAGAGGUAGUAACUGGCCUUUAUUUGACGGUAAUCAACCAGAAAGUCACGGCUAACUACGUG
This 500-nucleotide ribosomal RNA is filed under the name uncultured Lactobacillus sp. RNAcentral describes it as "bacterial SSU rRNA". It matches the Rfam family "Bacterial small subunit ribosomal RNA", at positions 40 to 507 of the family's 1533-position model. The record is from RNAcentral. Lineage: Bacteria; Bacillati; Bacillota; Bacilli; Lactobacillales; Lactobacillaceae.